GUUGAACAGAACAUGUGUGAGCAGCUCAGCUUUCUCGAAAGCCUCUUAUUCACCUGGAUAAAGUGUCCAAACACAGAGAAAAACUCCUGCUGAAGUGACUGAUCUCCACACUGUUAUUAAGAUGGCGUUCAUUAAAGAGGAGAGUGAAGAUGUGAAGAUUGAAGAAACAUUCACAGUCAAACAGGAAGAUCUGCAGGAACAAACAG
RNAcentral lists this long non-coding RNA (206 nucleotides) under Danio rerio (zebrafish). Its description in RNAcentral is "lncRNA si:dkey-146c18.6 (ENSDARG00000101682.3)". The record is from RNAcentral. Lineage: Eukaryota; Metazoa; Chordata; Actinopteri; Cypriniformes; Danionidae.